UCUCCUUCGUUGUGCCUUAUUCAUAUUCACGGGUCACUGCUCCAUGGUGAAAAACCCUAGCGCUGCCCUCCUCCAGGCCAUGCAUCCUCAGCUUUGAAGUUCUAUAAUGGAUGGCUUUGGGGUGUACGUGGAGCUUGGAUUGGACGCAAGGUCUCCCACACGGUACUGCACUCCGGCCCUCUCCUAUCGUCAACGAGAGGGAUCCUGGAUCGGUUCAGUCCAAGGGUAGCUAGAUUUCGAACGACGGGAACACAUGGACAUACUACAGGUCUGCAGCCUAGGCUAAUCGAUUUCCUCCGCCGACGCCAACAUGCAUGAUCACUAAACGUUGGCUGCACCCAUGCCACGGCCUCCGAUGUGCUCGCUGUGCACUGCAAGUGGUCAUGCAAAUUCAGAUAAGGUCUUCGUUUUCUCACCUUCCGUUCCUUUGUGUGACCUCCAUUGCCAUGUAUAAAUUGCCAGUUGCAUGUAUAGGAUAGAUAUCUACACUAGGGUGCAAAAGAAGUACGUGUAGUAUGAUCAAUCUGUCUAAAUUUUGGUAUUAUAAGAAUUAGGGUCUGUUAUAAAGUCAUAUCAAUUUUCAUCAUCUUUGCUCUAUCUAAGGACAUGCAUCGUGCCAGCCAUCAGACUCUCCCGGAAAGCAAAAUUAAUGGCAGGCUUUACCUAUGGCCGUACACACCUGGAUCCAUACAUCAAUCAGGGCUUUAUCACACAUGUUCGCGAUUGCUGCACCAUGUUGCACAAUGCGCCUCCCUCAAUUGGCAAGUCCCCAAUGGCGACAGUAUGGUGCAGCCGUGCAACAAGUCAGACCCAUCCAAGGACAUGAGCACAAAGUGCUAACAUAAAGCCUGGGCUGGCGGCAAAUGAGUAGGGCGGACAUGAAAGAAUACCAAAGUAUACUUGGGAGCGACGUCAGGGUAGCAAUAAUUUCUAUAUGGCGCCGAGCACUGGACAGUAGCCCUCCACAGCUGAAACCGUGCACUUACCUUUUUAGUUUAUCAGAACAAUGACGCUCUUUUGCUUCCAAUGGAUUUUGGCCUGAUGCAAACAUACAGGAAAUGGAAUCAGCUCAGAAAAUUCUCAUGUUGAGGAGCUAUAUAUAAAUAGGUACAUGCACGAUUCUGUUUUGUGUUGGAAGGCAAACAGACUGCAGGCUUGAGCGUACUGAAAUAUUAAGAAGGGCAAUCUUGAUUCAUCUAAUGUGGCCACAUUUAGUUUAGCUAUGCCUUCUCAUAACACGUGGAACAAACGCCGAAGGGUUGCACCUUUGAUAUGUCUCUCCCCCAAAAGGGUGAAGGGUCCAGCUUGGAAGGGCGACCAAGUGGUUCUGCCCGAGCUCGACGAGUCCAACCUGGCCACGACGAUGCACCGCUCCCAGCAGCAGGCACCCGACUCCAUGGACGAGGAGGAUGACCGGGACCCAAGCCCAAGCUGACGAGCAAGACGAGGACAUCAUCAAGUUAGGGGACCCUGACCUCGACUCCCCACACAAGAUCUUGGCUCUGCCCCUCUCGACUACCGCUCAUGGCGCAGAUGGGACGGCGACGAUGAUAGGAGGGCGUCGGAUCCGGACGGGAAUUGGGCAUUGUCUUGCUCGAGGAGGAGGAAGGAUGCACCUAGUUGUCGGCCCUGUCCUCCUCGAGGAGGGGCACACCAAGGGGUCUGUUCCUCUGCUUCCAAGGCAAGCAAGGGGUACUACCCGAGCUAGACGAGUCCAGCCUGGCCACGACGCUGCACCGCUCCUAGCAGAUCAAACAGAGUCCAGGACGACUCAUCAUCAAGGGAGGGAGGAUAAUGAACACAUGGGUACAUCAUACAUGACAUUUCAGAAAAGUGCACAAUUUAGCUGGAAAGAAUUACUAAGCCGAAUCAAGCAAACACAUGACUAGGUGAACGCUAACUUAAGUUUAUCUUGUAGCCGUCAUGACACAACCAUGCUUUCAUCCCCAUUUUUGUUGGUUGAACUUAGGUAUCAUAUAGAAGAAAUCCAACAACCUAUGAGCUCUUGAAGAAACCAGAUUGGAGGAACAAGUUUGGAGAAAAAAAGUUUCAAGUGAAGCUGGUGCUGUCAGCUUUUACCUCUGAUGUUUCAUGGUGGCACACCCAUAUGGUGGAGAGACAGGGCCAUAGGGGUACAUCAACAGAAGCUACAUCAAAUUAUAUUUCCAAUGCAAAAAAUCUCACAUCAUUUGGAGUUGUGAGUCAAAAGUACUAGUCAUUCCCGUGGAAGAUGUCCAGGCUGUCAAGACUUCGCGAAUUUCCGAGGAGCUCUCCAACAACUCCCAAAGUUGACAGCUUAUUCACCCAAGGAAGCCAUGCAAACCUGCUUACUUUUGAAACCAUUUUCACACCUAGCUAAGGUGGGUUGUCCCUUCUAUAAAUUCCCACCCCCCCAUCCUCUAGAGAACCUUUUGUCAAACCAUUCAGCUACAAGCUUAUGCAGCAAGACUGCUAGAGAGAUCCGAGAGAUCUUGCUACAUUUGCUCUUGUGAGUUCAUUCGGAUUCGCGAGAAGGAGCCUAUGGUCCCCCCUAGUUCAUGCUCUA
Long non-coding RNA from Triticum aestivum (bread wheat), 2545 nucleotides. RefSeq lists it as uncharacterized. NCBI's taxonomy places the organism in Eukaryota, Viridiplantae, Streptophyta, Magnoliopsida, Poales, Poaceae. The record is from RefSeq and is a predicted model, not a curated record. The transcript has 9 exons.